GUCUGGAUAACUCAGUGGUCUAGAGCAGUCGCCCGGAAAGCGAAAGACUCGGGUUCGAUUCCCGAUCCAGUCA
This 73-nucleotide transfer RNA is filed under the name Camponotus floridanus (Florida carpenter ant). RNAcentral describes it as "tRNA-Ser". It matches the Rfam family "tRNA". From Rfam's summary of the family: Transfer RNA (tRNA) molecules are approximately 80 nucleotides in length. Their secondary structure includes four short double-helical elements and three loops (D, anti-codon, and T loops). Lineage: Eukaryota; Metazoa; Arthropoda; Insecta; Hymenoptera; Formicidae. The record is from Rfam by way of RNAcentral.